AGGCAGAACUUAGAUGAAGGCCACACACAGACCCCCAAGUGAAAGUGGAGGCACACUAAAAUUAAAGAAAAGCAAAUGCUCCUGAGGAAGCUGAAUAAAGCCCAAAGGGGAACAUGUCGCUGAUCUGUGUUGCCAAGAUGCACUAAAGAGAAACAAGAUUACUACUGUGCUCCUACUAUCUGAGUUGCCUGUCCGUGCUGCUGUAUUGUCUUUGCUAAAAGAUGCUGCUAAAUCACCAACUAGGACCUCUACAACAGACUUCUACAACAGUCCAAAAGGAAGAUUGGUAUGGCUUCUCAGAAAGUACUUUUGUUUCUUUUCUUCCUAGGUUAGUAUGAAAGAUGGGUGAAACUACAUAAUUCCCUGUGUUAUCUUUUCUGGGCAACAGAUGCUUCAGAGUAGUCUAAGAAAUACAGAUAGAUGAAACAACUGUUUUUCUGUUGCCUUGGG
Molecule: long non-coding RNA, 450 nt
Organism: Falco peregrinus (peregrine falcon)
Lineage: Eukaryota; Metazoa; Chordata; Aves; Falconiformes; Falconidae
Exons: 3
Source: RefSeq, a predicted model, not a curated record